This 403-nucleotide ribosomal RNA is filed under the name uncultured prokaryote. RNAcentral describes it as "bacterial SSU rRNA". It matches the Rfam family "Bacterial small subunit ribosomal RNA", at positions 355 to 776 of the family's 1533-position model. The record is from RNAcentral. RNAcentral also lists the same sequence under 1 other name.
UGGGGGAUAUUGCACAAUGGGCGAAAGCCUGAUGCAGCGACGCCGCGUGAGGGAAGACGGUCUUCGGAUUGUAAACCUCUGUCUUCGGGGACGAUAAUGACGGUACCCGAGGAGGAAGCUACGGCUAACUACGUGCCAGCAGCCGCGGUAAUACGUAGGUGGCAAGCGUUGUCCGGAAUUACUGGGUGUAAAGGGAGCGUAGGCGGGAGCGCAAGUUGAAUGUUAAAUCUAUCGGCUCAACCGGUAGCCGCGUUCAAAACUGCGUUUCUUGAGUGAAGUAGAGGUUGGCGGAAUUCCUAGUGUAGCGGUGAAAUGCGUAGAUAUUAGGAGGAACACCAGUGGCGAAGGCGGCCAACUGGGCUUUUACUGACGCUGAGGCUCGAAAGCGUGGGGAGCAAACAGG